AUGGCGGGAGCGGCCGGGAGGGAGAGGGACCCACUCCUCCGCUCCGAGAUCCACGGCUUCAUCACCUACGCAGACUUGAACUUCGAGAAGCUGAAAGCAGAGGCCGCGUCGCGCUGGUUCCGGCCGAAUGAGAUCUACGCGGUCCUGGCCAACCACGAGAGGUUCAAGGUCCAUGCACAGCCCAUCGACAAGCCCGUGAGUGGUGCUAUUGUUCUAUAUGAUCGCAAAGUUGUCCGGAACUUCCGGAAGGAUGGCCAUAAUUGGAAGAAAAAGAAGGAUGGCAAAACUGUCCAAGAAGCCCAUGAAAAAUUAAAGAUUGGUAAUGAAGAGAGGGUUCAUGUCUAUUAUGCUCGAGGUGAGGAUAAUCCAAAUUUCUUUAGAAGGUGCUACUGGCUGCUUGACAAGUGCAUCACGUGA
RNAcentral lists this ribosomal RNA (417 nucleotides) under Triticum aestivum (bread wheat). RNAcentral describes it as "partial small subunit ribosomal RNA". The record is from RNAcentral. Lineage: Eukaryota; Viridiplantae; Streptophyta; Magnoliopsida; Poales; Poaceae.